GGGCGUAAAGAGCUCGUAGGUGGUUUGUCGCGUUGUUCGUGAAAACUCACAGCUUAACUGUGGGCGUGCGGGCGAUACGGGCAGACUAGAGUACUGCAGGGGAGACUGGAAUUCCUGGUGUAGCGGUGGAAUGCGCAGAUAUCAGGAGGAACACCGGUGGCGAAGGCGGGUCUCUGGGCAGUAACUGACGCUGAGGAGCGAAAGCGUGGGGAGCGAACAGGAUUAGAUACCCUGGUAGUCCACGCCGUACACGGUGGGUACUAGGUGUGGGUUCCUUCCUUGGGAUCCGUGCCGUAGCUAACGCAUUAAGUACCCCGCCUGGGGAGUACGGCCGCAAGGCUAAAGACUCAAAGGAAUUGACGGGGGCCCGCACAAGCGGCGGAGCAUGUGGAUUAAUUCGAUGCAACGCGAAGGACCUUACCUGGGUUUGACAUGCACAGGACGCUGGUAGAGAUAUCAGUUCCCUUGUGGCCUGUGUGCAGGUGGUGCAUGGCUGUCGUCAACUCGUGUCGUGAGAUGUUGGGUUAAGUCCCGCAACGAGCGCAACCCCUAUCUUAUGUUGCCAGCGCGUUAUGGCGGGGACUCGUAAGAGACUGCCGGGGUCAACUCGGAGGAAGGUGGGGAUGACGUCAAGUCAUCAUGCCCCUUAUGUCCAGGGCUUCACACAUGCUACAAUGGCCGGUACAAAGGGCUGCGAAUCCGCGAGGUGGAGCGAAUCCCUUGAAAGCCGGUCUCAGUUCGGAUCGGGGUCUGCAACUCGACCCCGUGAAGUUGGAGUCGCUAGUA
Molecule: ribosomal RNA, 786 nt
Filed under: uncultured Mycobacterium sp.
Lineage: Bacteria; Bacillati; Actinomycetota; Actinomycetes; Mycobacteriales; Mycobacteriaceae
Description: bacterial SSU rRNA
Rfam family: Bacterial small subunit ribosomal RNA
Source: RNAcentral